UACAGAGGUCUCAAGCGUUGUUCGGAUUCAUUGGGCGUAAAGGGCGCGUAGGCGGCGGGGUAAGUCUGGUGUGAAAUCUCGGAGCUCAACUCCGAAAUUGCACUGGAUACUGCUCUGCUAGAGGGCUGGAGAGGAGAUCGGAAUUCACGGUGUAGCAGUGAAAUGCGUAGAUAUCGUGAGGAAGACCAGUGGCGAAGGCGGAUCUCUGGACAGCUCCUGACGCUGAGGCGCGAAGGCUAGGGGAGCGAACGGG
RNAcentral lists this ribosomal RNA (253 nucleotides) under uncultured bacterium. RNAcentral's name for it is "partial 16S ribosomal RNA". It matches the Rfam family "Bacterial small subunit ribosomal RNA", at positions 524 to 776 of the family's 1533-position model. The record is from RNAcentral.